Molecule: ribosomal RNA, 567 nt
Filed under: Poropterus sp. ARC1379
Lineage: Eukaryota; Metazoa; Arthropoda; Insecta; Coleoptera; Curculionidae
Description: SSU rRNA
Source: RNAcentral
GCUUGUMUCAAAGAKUAAGCCAUGCAUGUCUCAGUACAAGCCGAAUUAAGGUGAAACCGCGAAAGGCUCAUUAAAUCAGUUAUGGUUCCUUAGAUCGUACCCACAAUUACUCGGAUAACUGUGGUAAUUCUAGAGCUAAUACGUGCAAACAGAGCUCCGACCGGAGACGGAAGGAGUGCUUUUAUUAGAUCAAAACCAAUCGGUGGCGGUUUCGUCAUCGUACAACUUGGUGACUCUGAAUAACUUUACGCUGAUCGCACGGUCACCGCACCGGCGACGCAUCUUUCAAAUGUCUGCCUUAUCAACUGUCGAUGGUAGGUUCUGCGCCUACCAUGGUCGUAACGGGUAACGGGGAAUCAGGGUUCGAUUCCGGAGAGGGAGCCUGAGAAACGGCUACCACAUCCAAGGAAGGCAGCAGGCGCGCAAAUUACCCACUCCCGGCACGGGGAGGUAGUGACGAAAAAUAACGAUACGGGACUCAUCCGAGGCCCCGUAAUCGGAAUGAGUACACUCUAAACCCUUUAACGAGGAUCAAUUGGAGGGCAAGUCUGGUGCCAGCAGCCGCGG